This is a long non-coding RNA of Rosa rugosa (rugosa rose), 2259 nucleotides long. RefSeq lists it as uncharacterized. The transcript is spliced from 8 exons. The record is from RefSeq and is a predicted model, not a curated record. NCBI's taxonomy places the organism in Eukaryota, Viridiplantae, Streptophyta, Magnoliopsida, Rosales, Rosaceae.
UUGACUUGCCCUAACUAUUCGACAGCCUCUAUUCGACAGCCUCUAUACUCUUCGUUCUACGCCUCCUCUUCGCUCUAUUCCUCCUCUUCAUCCUCUUGGUUCUUCGAAUCCAAGUAGAACUCGACAAAUCGUGCUCCAUCUUUUUCGAGUCAGGCCAGCUCUUGUUCCUCCUCUUCGCUCUACGCCUCCUCUUCGCUCUAUUCCUCCUCUUCAUCCUCUUGGUUCUUCGAAUCCAAGCAGAACUCGACAAAUCGUCCUCCAUCUUUUUCGAGUCAGGCCAGCUCUUGUUCCUCCUCUUCGCUUUACGCCUCCUCUUCGCUCUAUUCCUCCUCUUCAUCCUCUUGGUUCUUCGAAUCCAAGCAGAACUCGACGCCUCGUCCUCCAUCUUUUUCGAGUCAGGCCAGCUCUUGUACGUGCUCGAAGACAGUGAACAGGAUCGGUUCCUCAAGGCCGCCGUUUCGGAGAAACUUUGAGCUUUUGAGUCAUAGGAAUUGUGUUUCAUCUACAGAGUUAUUCUUCAUUCAGCUGGGCAAAGUUCGAAGCUUGCAUGACCAUGUAACUGGAGCUUUCUAGGCAUUCUUUAUCUCUGGUUACAGAGAGGGAUUAAAAACAACUAUUAAAGGAAAAACGCGGGGAUGUUUAUGCUUUGCUUUUCUAUCUACUGGCGGUUGGAAGUGGCAUUUUGAUUGGUGGAUUAGAGGCUUGAGAAGAGGAAGAUAUAUGCAUGUUUGGUAAGUGUAGGAUUGGGAAAACUAUUCCUCUUAAUCACCAGCUUAGGAUUAUUCUUUUUGUAUUCUGAUUUUGACAUUUUGGGUGCUAACUCACCAACCCAUCUAACUAAUUUCAAUGGUCUGUUUCCAAAUACGUGAACUGGUGAUGGAGCUUGAGAUUAUGGUAUAGUAGAUGAAUUAAAAGCACAUAAAUACAAGAAACUGAAAAGAAAAAAUAUUAAUCUUGGAACUCAAACAGGAAAGAAAACAGUUGGGGUCUACUGGAGCUAAUUAAAUCUUACUUACUUUAUUGUAAAAUUGAAGUGAGAUUUAUUUGAUAGUUGCACCACUGUUUGAAACAAACAUAAGAAAUCUGUUCAUAUUUUCUAAAGCAGAUCAGUAUGUCCAGUUUCUAGUAGGGUCUAUUAUAGUCUACUUUUGUGUUUAACGAAGGUUACUAGCAGAUUACAAUAUGAAAGUACCAACGUUCAUGAACUCUCUCAAGAUCGUUCAUGUACUCAUCAAGUGUUCUAUACUUGGACCUGAUUCUCGCUGGCUUUUACCUGACUACCCCGACGAGGACUAGAUGUGGUUCUUUUUCAUUGCUCCACGAAGAGAGAGAGCAAUCUUGAGAGAGUUCAUGAACGAUCCAGAGACCUGGCGUUUGUUUCUUUGCUUCGCACGAAGAGAGAGAGAGAGUGGAUGCGUGUGAUGCGUGUCAUGAACGAUCCAGCCCCAAAUUUCUAAUCGGCAGAGGUGCUCUAAGGAUGAAACAGUGAUAUUCGCUCUUUAUGGAGACAGUGCUGCAAAUCAGCCAUGGGAGGAAGAUGAUUGAAGGAGGAAGGGAAAAACGCAGAAGGGAGAGAAAGAAGACAGAACAGCACUACAAAGUUGAGUAGUUGUUUGCAGCUGAACACUGUGAUUGUCUUCUGUAUAUCUAGUUGGAGAACAAAACUGGAGCAAGGUAGAAGAUUAAAGGCCUGCUGCGAUGAAUAGAGACAGCAAGGUGCUCCGAUAGGGGAAAUUGAAGCAAAUGAGAAGCAUAGAUAUCAACUCCAACUUGAGGAGGCCAUAAGAACAUAACUACAUUUUCUCUCCCAGUAUUUGGUGGUUGUUAUUUUGCAUUUCUUACUUGGACCUGAUUUCUGAUUUUUUAUGUCUCACAUUUCAACAAUUUAAUCCCAGAUUUUUUUACAUAGGCAACUACAUGAACUUAUUACUGAACGAGACGAGUUGGAAACUUUUGCCUUUAUUGAUCCUGCUGCUACAUAUAAUUGCGAGAGAUCAGACUUUAGUUCCUACUUAGUGAAGACUUUGCUAUAGAUGUUGACUCUACCAAAGUGAUUUUGAGUAAGGCUAGCUAGAUUUUGUAGAAUCAUUUUGAAGUAGAACGUUGUACAGUUGCAGGUGAACUAAACUGCAUAUAGUUAUUGCAAUGGUCUAUUUUGGGCUAGCUUUGAUGUAGGUUGGGGUGUUUUUGCCUAUUUUUGAAACUAUUAACAAUUCUGCUGUUCGACAGAAAUUAAUGCAUUGCCCCAUAUUCAAUUAA